UACGGAGGGUGCAAGCGUUAUCCGGAUUCACUGGGUUUAAAGGGUGCGUAGGAGGGCGGGUAAGUCAGUGGUGAAAUCUCUGGGCUUAACCCAGAAACUGCCGUUGAUACUAUCUGCCUUGAAUACCGUGGAGGUGAGCGGAAUAUGUCAUGUAGCGGUGAAAUGCUUAGAUAUGACAUAGAACACCAAUUGCGAAGGCAGCUCGCUACACGAAUAUUGACUCUGAGGCACGAAAGCGUGGGGAUCAAACAGG
This 253-nucleotide ribosomal RNA is filed under the name uncultured bacterium. RNAcentral describes it as "partial 16S ribosomal RNA". It matches the Rfam family "Bacterial small subunit ribosomal RNA", at positions 524 to 776 of the family's 1533-position model. The record is from RNAcentral.